Molecule: ribosomal RNA, 395 nt
Filed under: Bacillus sp. (in: firmicutes)
Lineage: Bacteria; Bacillati; Bacillota; Bacilli; Caryophanales; Bacillaceae
Description: bacterial SSU rRNA
Rfam family: Bacterial small subunit ribosomal RNA
Source: RNAcentral
GCAGUCGAGCGAAUGGAUUAAGAGCUUGCUCUUAUGAAGUUAGCGGCGGACGGGUGAGUAACACGUGGGUAACCUGCCCAUAAGACUGGGAUAACUCCGGGAAACCGGGGCUAAUACCGGAUAACAUUUUGAACUGCAUGGUUCGAAAUUGAAAGGCGGCUUCGGCUGUCACUUAUGGAUGGACCCGCGUCGCAUUAGCUAGUUGGUGAGGUAACGGCUCACCAAGGCAACGAUGCGUAGCCGACCUGAGAGGGUGAUCGGCCACACUGGGACUGAGACACGGCCCAGACUCCUACGGGAGGCAGCAGUAGGGAAUCUUCCGCAAUGGACGAAAGUCUGACGGAGCAACGCCGCGUGAGUGAUGAAGGCUUUCGGGUCCUAAAACUCUGUUGUUA